ACAGGCAAAGGGAGAGGCAAGAGUGAACUGAACAGCACAUGUGGCCCUAAAGAGGCUGAAAUUCCCUUACUACACCCUGAUAUCAGGGGACUGACUGAUUAUCCUGGGCUCUGACCUCUUGCUUGUGCCAUUUGGCCCUGGCACUGCCAGGCAGCUGCGAUCUAAGCCGAACCAUGGAAACCACUCUCCCUUAAUAGCCAAGUGCAGGUGGUGCUUAACAACAUCACGGAUUUGCCAGGUCUGUUUGCCUCAGUGCUGAUUCCUGGCGGUUUCUUCGAUGCCUCCAUCAGAGCAUCACAAGCCAGGCAUUGGGGAGGACGUUCCAGAGACGAGUGAUUAGUUAUGAGUGACAUCCAGAGACUUCAAAGUGCAAGACCUGAACGUUUUCUGAGCCACAGCCACUGUGAGCCGACAGUAGCAGCUGUAAAGCGGCCAGGGCAGAGAACCACAGCUUUCCAGAGCCCUGGAAAAUGCCAAGAGCUGGUGCACAGAGCCAGGUUAAGCCAUGGCAGCCAGAGAGAAACCAGACAGGAAUGAAUCGCUCAAACAUCUUGGCUCUGCAGGCUUAGAGAAUAAAGCCCAGGACCAAAAAUAAAACUAAGAGUGUAACUUCACUGAAGACCACAAUGGACA
Cyanistes caeruleus (blue tit) is the source of this 633-nucleotide non-coding RNA. The record is from RefSeq and is a predicted model, not a curated record. Lineage: Eukaryota; Metazoa; Chordata; Aves; Passeriformes; Paridae.